This 484-nucleotide ribosomal RNA is filed under the name uncultured bacterium. RNAcentral's name for it is "partial 16S ribosomal RNA". It matches the Rfam family "Bacterial small subunit ribosomal RNA", at positions 30 to 507 of the family's 1533-position model. The record is from RNAcentral.
AUUGAACGCUGGCGGCAGGCCUAACACAUGCCAGUCGAGCGGAUGAAGGGAGCUUGCUCCUGGAUUCAGCGGCGGACGGGUGAGUAAUGCCUAGGAAUCUGCCUGGUAGUGGGGGAUAACGUCCGGAAACGGGCGCUAAUACCGCAUACGUCCUGAGGGAGAAAGUGGGGGAUCUUCGGACCUCACGCUAUCAGAUGAGCCUAGGUCGGAUUAGCUAGUUGGUGGGGUAAAGGCCUACCAAGGCGACGAUCCGUAACUGGUCUGAGAGGAUGAUCAGUCACACUGGAACUGAGACACGGUCCAGACUCCUACGGGAGGCAGCAGUGGGGAAUAUUGGACAAUGGGCGAAAGCCUGAUCCAGCCAUGCCGCGUGUGUGAAGAAGGUCUUCGGAUUGUAAAGCACUUUAAGUUGGGAGGAAGGGCAGUAAGUUAAUACCUUGAUGUUUUGACGUUACCAACAGAAUAAGCACCGGCUAACUUCGUG